AACGAACGCUGGCGGCAGGCUUAACACAUGCAAGUCGAGCGCCCCGCAAGGGGAGCGGCAGACGGGUGAGUAACGCGUGGGAAUCUACCUUUUGCUACGGAAUAACUCAGGGAAACUUGUGCUAAUACCGUAUGUGCCCUUCGGGGGAAAGAUUUAUCGGCAAAGGAUGAGCCCGCGUUGGAUUAGCUAGUUGGUGGGGUAAUGGCCUACCAAGGCGACGAUCCAUAGCUGGUCUGAGAGGAUGAUCAGCCACAUUGGGACUGAGACACGGCCCAAACUCCUACGGGAGGCAGCAGUGGGGAAUAUUGGACAAUGGGCGCAAGCCUGAUCCAGCCAUGCCGCGUGAGUGAUGAAGGCCCUAGGGUUGUAAAGCUCUUUCACCGGUGAAGAUAAUGACGGUAACCGGAGAAGAAGCCCCGGCUAACUUCGUGCCAGCAGCCGCAGUAA
This 447-nucleotide ribosomal RNA is filed under the name uncultured bacterium. RNAcentral describes it as "partial 16S ribosomal RNA". It matches the Rfam family "Bacterial small subunit ribosomal RNA", at positions 29 to 523 of the family's 1533-position model. The record is from RNAcentral.